GCAGGCAAAUGAGGGAACUACAUUUUAGACACAGCAUAGUUAUCAUCGUUAUUCUUCUCUGUCAUAAAGCAAAAUGUGAAAGUAAAAUGAAACUUUGCACCAGGAGUGGCCUGCUGGAAGUUUGACCUAUUUGUUUUGAGGGGCUGAAGUAAAACACAUUUUGCGAUUCCUUCUCUGGAUCUUGUCUAUGCCUACUAUGACAGCAACUGCACAUCCACACACACAGUCAAGAUUCUUUCUGGGAAAGUGUUGGGUCUACUACACACCCAAAAAUCAACUGCAACAAACACAGACACACAGACCACGCAGACAUCCUGUCUGUGCACCAGUGCCUGAGGACCUCCUGGGAAGGACGAAGCUGGCAACAGGCUGCAACCACUGGAGCAAUUAAUGUGGAUCUGGACAAGGAUCAGGAUUAAUUUUUCCAGCAGUGGCAGACUCACUCCUGGUUGCCAAAUUUCCUUUGAAGAACUUUUCCAUAGUUUUUCUUUUACCACAUGAUAGGCCAUCAAAAGAUGAGGAGAAACCACAAAGCCCUUGGAAAAGAAAAUGGCCACAAACAGGAGACUACUGUCCAAGCAACACGUCUGACCCACCCUUUGAUGCCAGUGGCUUCUAGGAAGGAGAGCACCUGAUAAGAGACAAGAGAAAUCACCAGCCAAUGGACAAAUAUCUUGACCUAUAAAACCCCAGGAUGUUUGUCAUGAUGCUCUAUAGAAACAUACAAUGAAAUAAACCCAACAACAGCAAA
This is a long non-coding RNA of Passer domesticus (house sparrow), 751 nucleotides long. RefSeq lists it as uncharacterized. Lineage: Eukaryota; Metazoa; Chordata; Aves; Passeriformes; Passeridae. The transcript has 2 exons. The record is from RefSeq and is a predicted model, not a curated record.